Molecule: ribosomal RNA, 780 nt
Filed under: uncultured bacterium
Lineage: Bacteria
Description: bacterial SSU rRNA
Rfam family: Bacterial small subunit ribosomal RNA
Source: RNAcentral
AUGCAGUCGAGGGGCAGCGCGAGUAGCAAUACUUGGCGGCGACCGGCGCAAGGGUGCGUAACGCGUGAGCAACAUGCCCGUAUCAGGGGGAUAAUCCAGGGAAACUUGGUCUAAUACCCCAUAGUAAUUUUAUAAGGCAUCUUAUGGAAUUUAAAGCUUUGGUGGAUACGGAUUGGCUCGCGUGACAUUAGCUGGAUGGUAAGGUAACGGCUUACCAUGGCUACGAUGUCUAGGGGUUCUGAGAGGAAGGUCCCCCACACUGGAACUGAGACACGGUCCAGACUCCUACGGGAGGCAGCAGUGAGGAAUAUUGGACAAUGGAUGGAAAUCUGAUCCAGCCAUGCCGCGUGCAGGAAGACGGUCCUAUGGAUUGUAAACUGCUUUUGUAUGGGAGCAAUAAGGCCUUCGUGAAGGCUGAUGAGAGUACCAUACGAAUAAGCACCGGCUAACUCCGUGCCAGCAGCCGCGGUAAUACGGAGGGUGCAAGCGUUAUCCGGAUUUAUUGGGUUUAAAGGGUGCGUAGGCGGUUAUUUAAGUCAGUGGUGAAAGUUUUCGGCUCAACCGGAAAAUUGCCAUUGAUACUGGAUAGCUAGAAUAUGGUUGCUGUGAGUAGAAUGUGUGGUGUAGCGGUGAAAUGCAUAGAUAUCACACAGAAUACCGAUUGCGAAGGCAUCUCACAAAGCCAUCAUUGACGCUGAGGCACGAAAGUGUGGGGAUCAAACAGGAUUAGAUACCCUGGUAGUCCACACUGUAAACGAUGAUAACUAGCUGUUGGCGAUA